UAGAGCCUACCAUGGUGGUAACGGGUAACGGGGUGUUAGGGCACGACACCGGAGAGGGAGCCUGAGAAACGGCUACCACAUCCAAGGAUGGCAGCAGGCGCGCAAAUUACCCAAUCCCGACACGGGGAGGUAGUGACAAUAAAUAACAAUACGGGGUUCUUUCGGAUUUCGUAAUUGGAAUGAGUACAAUUUAAAUCUCUUAAUGAGGAACAAUUGGAGGGCAAGUCUGGUGCCAGCAGCCGCGGUAAUUCCAGCUCCAAUAGCGUAUAUUAAAGUUGCUGCAGUUGAAAAGCUCGUAGUUGAAUUUCGGGACCAAUAUGUCGGUCGUGCCUCGGUACGUACUGGCAUCGUUGGUUUCUCCCUUCUGACGAACCAUGAUGUCAUUUAUUUGGUGUCGUGGGGAAUCAGGACUGUUACUUUGAAAAAAUUAGAGUGUUUAAAGCAGGCUCACGCUUGAAUACAUUAGCAUGGAAUAAUGAAAUAGGACGUUUGAUUCUAUUUUGUUGGUUUCUAGGAUCGACGUAAUGAUUAAUAGGGAUAGUUGGGGGCAUUAGUAUUCAAUUGUCAGAGGUGAAAUUCUUGGAUUUAUUGAAGACUAACUACCGCGGAAGCAUUUGCCAAGGAUGUUUUCAUUAAUCAAGAACGAAAGUUAGGGGAUCGAAGACGAUCAGAUACCGUCGUAGUCUUAACCAUAAACUAUGCCGACUAGGGAUCGGAUGAUGUUAAUUUUUUAAUAACUCAUUCGGCGCCUUACGGGGAAACCAAAG
This 767-nucleotide ribosomal RNA is filed under the name uncultured Glomeromycotina. RNAcentral describes it as "SSU rRNA". It matches the Rfam family "Eukaryotic small subunit ribosomal RNA", at positions 335 to 1103 of the family's 1831-position model. The record is from RNAcentral. Lineage: Eukaryota; Fungi; Glomeromycota.